Molecule: ribosomal RNA, 328 nt
Filed under: uncultured eukaryote
Lineage: Eukaryota
Description: partial 18S ribosomal RNA
Rfam family: Eukaryotic small subunit ribosomal RNA
Source: RNAcentral
CCCUUAGAUGUUCUGGGCUGCACGCGCGCUACACUGAUGCGUUCAACGAGCCUUCCUUGCUCGAGAGAGCUGGGUAAUCUUCAUGAAAACGCAUCGUGAUGGGGAUAGGCGCUUGUAAUUAUUCGCCUUGAACGAGGAAUUCCUAGUAAGCGCGAGUCAUCAGCUCGCGCUGAUUACGUCCCUGCCCUUUGUACACACCGCCCGUCGCUCCUACCGAUUGAGCGGUCCGGUGAGGCCCCCGGACUGUGGCAACGGCUCUGGUUCGCCAGACUGAUGCCGCGGGAAGCUGUCCAAACCUUAUCAUUUAGAGGAAGGAGAAGUCGUAACA